AAGAAAAUCAGCUUUAUUUUGAGAGGCUAGGGACAUAGUCAUGAUCAAUUACAGAGGUUAAUUUGAUUAUAAAUUGAGGUACCUGAUCUCCGUGUUGUCGAUGGCGCCAGCCUAUAUCUGUCUGAAGAUGCACAUCCCCUACACUGAUAGUUGCAAUUUGAAGUGAUGGCAUGACUUGCUUAUGUUGGAGAAAUGUGGAUUAUACCUGAUGCCAUGGUGAAAGUAUAUUUGAGGAUCGUCCUAAACACCUUAGUCUCGUCUUCUGAUCACCUUUCGAUCCCGUAUCUGGACCGAGUCCUAUGGUUCUAGUUCAAAUAACCGGACUGCAGUUGUGUAAUUACAAUGGUUAUAUCUCUUAGAAUGGUGGAACUAUGAUGGGUUCGUAGGCUUGUCAUUCAUCACCACCAAAGAGACCACACAAACUCUUUUGUUUGAUGUGAUUUCUUAACUUAGUCCGUUUAUUCCACAUAAGAUGAGGUUGUGAGGUUCUGAUUGCGGUUGGUUUCGAUGUCUUGAGAUGCGUGCUUAGACAGUAGAAUGAACUUUGGAGGGUGUAGCCAAUUCCUACGUAGUAUUUUUGUGCCCUCCGCCUCAGGACACCUACAUUUUUCAUUGGUUGCACUCUGAACUUCUUAUUCACUCAGAAGAAUUGUGAAAUUGGCUCUUGAUGCGUUAUUCUCUCUCUCUUCAUACAUAUAUUGAUUGCGGUGUCUUGAGCUCUUUCAGGAUCUCAUCGUAGUCAUUUUUGUUCUUGUCUCUACUAUCUAGUUAAUUCCAUUAUGAAGGUCUCUCCUCCAACAUGCUAUUAUUCUGAUAACGGCAUAAUUCACCGAAUCGAUUAGAUUGCUCAGCGGGUGCAUUCAAUGGAAAGUAACAGUGAUCAGUUGCCCUGUAAUUCACUUGCUUCUAUUGACGGUGAUCCUACACCUGCAGAUUCACCUGUGAAGGAAAGAUGUUUUGACCAGAGAGAAGCACUUCCUGGGGAGCCACGCUGUGUUAUUUGUGGACGCUAUGGGGAAUACAUAUGCGACCAAACCAAUGAUGACAUCUGCAGUGUAGAAUGCAAAACUAUCCUUCUUUCUAGACGUGCUGAUACUAAGAAGCCAGAAAUAAAAUCCAAAAAGCCCAGGAACUUUCCCUUUCAUGACGAGUGCUUCUAUGUUAAAGAUGACAGGUGCUCCAACCUGCAGGGCGAAACCACUGAACAAAUUGCUUCUUUAAGAAGCAAAAUUGACAUUUCUGUUAAGGGACAGAGCAUUCCAGAUCUGAUUUUAUCCUUCUCUUCUUGCAAUCUCCCUGCUAAGCUCGAACAUAAUCUUGAAAGUGCUGGAUAUGUUAUUCCUACCCCAGUCCAGAUGCAAGCCAUUCCUGCUGCACUUAGUUGUAGAAACUUGCUUGUUUCUGCUGAAACUGGUUCUGGUAAGACAGCUGCUUUUCUAGUUCCAAUAAUCUCCCACUGUUCGCAAAUCCGGUCGCAACAUGUUACUGACCGGAAGAAUCCAUUGGCAAUGGUUCUUGCUCCAACUAGAGAGCUGUGUGUGCAGAUAGAGGAGCAAGCUAAGUUGCUUGGAAAGGGCCUACCUUUUAGAACUGCCCUUGUUGUUGGAGGAGAAGCCUUGGCUGGGCAGAUAUACCGAAUAGAGAGUUGCAUAGAAUUAAUUGUGGGUACCCCUGGAAGGCUAAUUGAUCUCCUUUCUAAACAUAAUGUUGAACUCGGUGGGAUUUCUGUCUUGGUUCUGGAUGAAGUAGACUGCAUGUUGCAGAAAGGGUUCCGCGAUCACGUCAUGCAAAUAUUUUGUGCACUAUCAUCCCCUCAGGUAUUGAUGUUCUCUGCGACGAUUUCUCUAGAGGUUGAAAAGAUGGUUCGUUCUAUUGUUAACGACUUGAUAUAUAUUCUUUGCGGGAGCACAAACAGACCAAACAAAUCAGUGAAGCAAAUUGUUAUUUGGGUCGAUCCUAAACAGAAGAAACAAAAGCUUUUUGAGAUAUUGAUGAGCAAGCAGCAUUUUAAGCCCCCUACUGUGGUGUUUGUAGGUUCAAGACUAGGAGCUGAUCUUUUGUCUCAAGCAAUUACACUUGCUACUGGAUUGCGAGCUCUCUCAAUUCAUGGGGAGAAGAUGAUGAAUGAGAGGAGAGAGAGUUUGAGAAUGUUCUUGACAGGAGAAGUUCCCAUAAUUGUGUCUACAGGGGUUUUGGGCCGUGGGAUGGAUCUUUUGAAAGUACGGCAGGUGAUAAUAUUUGACUUGCCAAAUUCUAUUGAAGAUUACAUUCAUCAAGUGGGAAGGGCUUCUCGAAUGGGGGAUGAGGGUACAUCAAUUAUCUUUGUGAAUGAGGAGGACAAGAAGCUGUUUAAGGAGCUUGUGCAGACUCUAAAGUCUGCAGGAGCUGCUAUUCCGCGAGAGCUAGCAAAUUCGAAGUACUUAAUGGGUACUUUCUCUGUUAGUGGUAGAAAGAAGAGAAAGUUUGGUUCAUAGGGUCUUUGCUUGGUUACAAAAGAUGAGUUUCCUCCAAGGUUCCAGCCACUUGGUUAGAGGAGAGCUGUUUUUUCUAGAACUCUGUGGCAACAACUAAAAACUAUCACAGGGAGUAGUUUUUUGGGGAAAAAGAUACUGGUGACUUGUACAGUAAAAAGAGCAAGAAAUUUUCAUGCCACUGCAACAAUAGUGAAAUAAAACAUCCAUGCAGACUGCAUUACUGCUCUAAUGGUCACCCUAGGCUUCUUCAGAUGUCAGAAGUUCCAAAUCAGGAAAAUGUGGUCGAAAUCCUGUAAACUGGAGGAUAUGAUGUCAAUCCAUAUCUAAUCACCUGAUGGAUGUGUCUGAAUCGAUGUGCAGAUUCAAUUAUUGGGCCAUUGGCUUCGGCUUGGAGGAAUGAUAUAUUCACCAUGUGUUAGACAUCGCAUACACAAUCAAUGGGGACAUUGUAAUCUGCAGGAACAGCUAAUCAACACAUCUUUGUGAGGAUGGGAGCUCAUCAAGGUAAGCGCGUGGGAACUAGUUUUUCCAUGGUCUUUAGUUUUGUGCUCUUAUAGGUUAGACGACAUGCUUUUUAUCUGUUUUGCUUAUUUUUGACUACUGACUUAUGCUUCUUAAGACCUGUAAUAUUUUUAUUCAUCACAUUUUUCGUAUAAUUGUCAUGUUGUUUAAUAUCUCAAUUGACAAUUAAUCUAAAUUCCAGCCGCUAUCAUCAAUUAGGUCAUUUCAUUGGUUGUUGUCAA
Molecule: RNA transcript, 3217 nt
Organism: Ananas comosus (pineapple)
Lineage: Eukaryota; Viridiplantae; Streptophyta; Magnoliopsida; Poales; Bromeliaceae
Gene name: DEAD-box ATP-dependent RNA helicase 41
Exons: 4
Source: RefSeq, a predicted model, not a curated record